RNAcentral lists this ribosomal RNA (245 nucleotides) under uncultured bacterium. Its description in RNAcentral is "partial small subunit ribosomal RNA". It matches the Rfam family "Bacterial small subunit ribosomal RNA", at positions 26 to 285 of the family's 1533-position model. The record is from RNAcentral.
AGAAUCAACGCUGGCGGCGUGCCUAACACAUGCAAGUCGCACGAGAAAGGGGAGCAAUCCCUGAGUACAGUGGCGCACGGGUGAGUAACACGUGAAUCAUCUACCUCCGAGUGGGGAAUAACUGAGAGAAAUCUUAGCUAAUACCGCAUAACACUUACGAGUCAAAGCAGCAAUGCGCUUGGAGAGGAGUUCGCGGCCGAUUAGCUAGUUGGCGGGGUAAUGGCCCACCAAGGCGAUGAUCGGUA